This 252-nucleotide ribosomal RNA is filed under the name uncultured bacterium. RNAcentral describes it as "partial 16S ribosomal RNA". It matches the Rfam family "Bacterial small subunit ribosomal RNA", at positions 524 to 776 of the family's 1533-position model. The record is from RNAcentral.
UACGUAGGUCCCGAGCGUUGCCCGGAUUUAUUGGGCGUAAAGCGAGCGCAGGUGGUUUAUUAAGUCUGGUGUAAAAGGCAGUGGCUCAACCAUUGUAUGCAUUGGAAACUGGUAGACUUGAGUGCAGGAGAGGAGAGUGGAAUUCCAUGUGUAGCGGUGAAAUGCGUAGAUAUAUGGAGGAACACCGGUGGCGAAAGCAGCUCUCUGGCCUGUAACUGACACUGAGGCUCGAAAGCGUGGGGAGCAAACAGG